This 73-nucleotide ribosomal RNA is filed under the name Petrosaurus repens. RNAcentral describes it as "partial 16S ribosomal RNA". The record is from RNAcentral. Lineage: Eukaryota; Metazoa; Chordata; Lepidosauria; Squamata; Phrynosomatidae.
GUCCUAAACCAUAAGGCUAAAUUCAACUAAAGCCUAAAACAAGACCCCCGUAAACCCAGAGACAAUGGGCUUA